RNAcentral lists this ribosomal RNA (157 nucleotides) under uncultured bacterium. Its description in RNAcentral is "partial 16S ribosomal RNA". The record is from RNAcentral.
CUGAGAUCUUGCGCAUGACGCAGCCUGAUGAUCGAUGCCGCGUGAGUGAUGACGUCUCUGCGAUUGUAAGCUCUUUCGUCCGGGACGAUAUGUCGUACUAGUAGAUAGCAUGACAGUACGUGCAUAGCGCGUUAAUACGUGCGCAGCGCGGUAUCAA